Non-coding RNA from Caenorhabditis elegans, 139 nucleotides. NCBI's taxonomy places the organism in Eukaryota, Metazoa, Nematoda, Chromadorea, Rhabditida, Rhabditidae. The record is from Ensembl.
GUGCCGCCCACUCCUAAGGUUGUCCAACUUUCUGUGGUGCUCUCCUACUAUUACACACGUUCUGACUGGGGAUCCUCUCUCAUCUUCCUCUUGCUUCGGAAGGAAGAGUGUAAAACAUUGAGCCAAAGCACAUCAAGAA